Molecule: ribosomal RNA, 594 nt
Filed under: Triticum aestivum (bread wheat)
Lineage: Eukaryota; Viridiplantae; Streptophyta; Magnoliopsida; Poales; Poaceae
Description: partial small subunit ribosomal RNA
Source: RNAcentral
AUGCUGCUUCAUAAAGAUCAACCUCAGCAAAUGUUUAUCUCCAUACUUGGGGAGAGUGGUGUCAGAAAGAAAACACUGUUAUGUACUAUCAUCGGACAUACUGAUGCGAUUUAUGAGUUUGAAAUUGUAGUUUGGUUCAACAUGCCGGCAGAUUACACCACAGAAGAUCUCCAAGAAAUCUACGAUAGAGCAUGUGAAAGUGCACCACAACAUCAUCUGAAUGAAGGCAUUAAUAUCGCUGAUAAGCUCCGACACCUCCUGAAGAAAAAGAGGUAUUUGGUGAUUAUCAGAGGCAUAUGCUCCAAAACCAUUCUCAACUGUGUGAGGGUGAGCCUACCAGAUGACAAUAAUGGUAGCCGUAUUGUGCUCGUGUUGGACACUGAGAGCGAAGAAGUAGCAUGGCAUGCUAACACCAUGAACAAAGAUGGCAUAAAUGGAAUCCACAUGUUGGGCCGUUUGGAUGAAAAAAGAAGUGGGCAAUUGUUCUGUUCGAGGGCCUUGAGGAAAGAAUUGUCCGAUGUGAAGGAAAACAGGGAAAUGAGCAAAUACAGCAAAAUUGUGUAUGAUAUAACUGGGGCUACCCUCUGGCUAUAG